AUGUUCGGGUCGAAAACAAAAAUUUAGAAACCAUACAAACCGAAGAGAAAAUAUGUUUCAAAAGAAAAAACGAAAAUAAAACAGAAAAAUGGUUUUAAAGCAAACACAACUUCGAUAAUGUCUUGGGACAACUACAGAGUUCGAGCACAUUGAAGACGUUAGGGUUUUAAUGCAAAAUUCAUAGAACGGCAUCGACACAAUUGGCAAGUUACUUAUACACUAUACAAAAUGUUUACUUGUUCUGGUUAAUGAUUGACUAUGAUUGACUAUGAUUGACUACGAUUGAUUACGAUUGAUUCCAAUUGAUCAUCUGGGGGCAUAAUGCACAAUAUGCCAAGGGAGGCUUUUCAACUUUGAGUGUUGAAUAACGUUGAAAUGUUGAACGAAUUUCUUUUCAAGGUUUUUCGUUUAUUGAUUCCAAUGUAUUGUUAAAUAAAAUGCAAUGGAAAUGUAAAUAAAAAAAAAAAAAAUUCAAAAAAUCGAAAAAGCCAAAAUCUUGCAAAAAUCUUUUCUUGAACUGUGGACCUCAAGCAGAAGGCGCGACUGAGCCAAGUAUCGCUUAAAUUUUCCGCUGUCAACAUAUAAAUAUGCCAAACAUUUUAUGUCAGCUGCUGUAGCGCUGCGGGCGCCUCAAUUCGAGCGAUGCCUGUGGCAAGCGCGUUACGUAUACGCCGCAUGGGUCGCACUGAUAGCUGUAUAUCAAUCACACAUUCCAUCAACUGUUAUUAACAUACAUGAAAUGCAGUUGCGGUAAGUGGCAUGUGGCAUGUAGCAUGUAGCAUGUGGGGCUGUGGCAACUUGCAAGUGACAGACCUCAAUAUGAAGA
Long non-coding RNA from Drosophila novamexicana, 826 nucleotides. RefSeq lists it as uncharacterized. NCBI's taxonomy places the organism in Eukaryota, Metazoa, Arthropoda, Insecta, Diptera, Drosophilidae. The record is from RefSeq and is a predicted model, not a curated record. The transcript has 4 exons.